Molecule: ribosomal RNA, 1119 nt
Filed under: uncultured bacterium
Lineage: Bacteria
Description: bacterial SSU rRNA
Rfam family: Bacterial small subunit ribosomal RNA
Source: RNAcentral
AGUGAGGAAUAUUGGUCAAUGGGCGCAAGCCUGAACCAGCCAUGUCGCGUGCAGGAUGACGGCCCUAUGGGUUGUAAACUGCUUUUUUACAGGAAUAAUUGCAGAUACGUGUAUUUGUUUGAAGGUACUGUAGGAAUAAGGAUCGGCUAACUCCGUGCCAGCAGCCGCGGUAAUACGGAGGAUUCGAGCGUUAUCCGGAUUUAUUGGGUUUAAAGGGUCCGUAGGCGGGCUAAUAAGUCAGUGGUGAAAUCCCAGAGCUCAACUCUGGAACUGCCAUUGAUACUGUUAGUCUUGAAUUUAGUUGAGGUGGGCGGAAUACGUUAUGUAGCGGUGAAAUGCAUAGAUAUAACGUAGAACACCGAUUGCGAAGGCAGCUCACUAAACUAACAUUGACGCUGAUGGACGAAAGCGUGGGGAGCGAACAGGAUUAGAUACCCUGGUAGUCCACGCCGUAAACGAUGAUUACUCGUUGUGCACAAUACAUCGUGCGUGACUGAGCGAAAGCAUUAAGUAAUCCACCUGGGGAGUACGUUCGCAAGAAUGAAACUCAAAGGAAUUGACGGGGGCCCGCACAAGCGGAGGAACAUGUGGUUUAAUUCGAUGAUACGCGAGGAACCUUACCUGGACUUAAAUGUAGAUUGACCCUCUUAGAAAUAGGAGUUCUCUUCGGAGCAAUUUACAAGGUGCUGCAUGGUUGUCGUCAGCUCGUGCCGUGAGGUGUCGGGUUAAGUCCCAUAACGAGCGCAACCCCUAUCGUUAGUUGCUAGCAGGUAAUGCUGAGGACUCUAGCGAGACUGCCACCGUAAGGUGAGAGGAAGGUGGGGAUGACGUCAAAUCAGCACGGCCCUUACGUCCAGGGCUACACACGUGUUACAAUGGCCGAUACAAAGGGCAGCUACCAGGUGACUGGAUGCUAAUCUCCAAAGUCGGUCUCAGUUCGGAUCGGAGUCUGCAACUCGACUCCGUGAAGUUGGAUUCGCUAGUAAUCGCAUAUCAGCAACGAUGCGGUGAAUACGUUCCCGGGCCUUGUACACACCGCCCGUCAAGCCAUGGAAGCCGAGGGGACCUGAAGUUCGUAACCGCAAGGAGCGACCUAGGGUAAAAUUGGUAACUGGGGCU